CAGUAGCCGCGGUAACACGAAGGGGGCUAGCGUUGCUCGGAAUCACUGGGCGUAAAGGGUGCGUAGGCGGGUCUUUAAGUCAGAGGUGAAAUCCUGGAGCUCAACUCCAGAACUGCCUUUGAUACUGAGGAUCUUGAGUUCGGGAGAGGUGAGUGGAACUGCGAGUGUAGAGGUGAAAUUCGUAGAUAUUCGCAAGAACACCAGUGGCGAAGGCGGCUCACUGGCCCGAUACUGACGCUGAGGCACGAAAGCGUGGGGAGCAAACAGGAUUAGAUACCCCAGUAGUCCCUGUCUCUUAUAC
RNAcentral lists this ribosomal RNA (301 nucleotides) under uncultured bacterium. RNAcentral's name for it is "partial 16S ribosomal RNA". It matches the Rfam family "Bacterial small subunit ribosomal RNA", at positions 509 to 807 of the family's 1533-position model. The record is from RNAcentral.